Molecule: ribosomal RNA, 224 nt
Filed under: Thinopyrum intermedium
Lineage: Eukaryota; Viridiplantae; Streptophyta; Magnoliopsida; Poales; Poaceae
Description: partial 18S ribosomal RNA
Source: RNAcentral
AUCAUAGUCAAAAUCUGAGUUUGAUCCUGGCUCAGAAGGAACGCUAGCUAUAUGCUUAACACAUGCAAGUCGAACGUUGUUUUCGGGGAGCUGGGCAGAAGGAAAAGAGGCUCCUAGCUAAAGUUGUCUCGCCCUGCUUCAAAACUACAGGGCGCGCGCUACGGCUUUGACCUAACGGCCUCCGUCUGCUGGAAUCGGAAUAGUUGAGAACAAAGUGGCGAACG